Xiphophorus hellerii (green swordtail) is the source of this 1298-nucleotide long non-coding RNA. RefSeq lists it as uncharacterized. The record is from RefSeq and is a predicted model, not a curated record. Lineage: Eukaryota; Metazoa; Chordata; Actinopteri; Cyprinodontiformes; Poeciliidae. The transcript has 4 exons.
UCAUUUGAUCCAGGUGUGUUAAACCAGGGAGAGAACCAAAACAUGCAGGAUGCCGGCCCUCGAGGACCGACUUUGGACACCCCUGCUCUAUAGGAACACAGCUAACCUGGACAGCCCAGCGCUGCUGGUCGUCAAAGACAUGUUCACAAAGGUGUUUGGGGCUUUUUGCUCAGAUCCGUUCAGUCAGUAAAUAUUUCUACGGCACAGGCCAGACCUUCUUGUUCAGCUUCGGUCCUGAUUUCCAGCAAUACAAGUGGAGUGGAGAGAACUCCUACUCUGUGAGUGGCAGCAGGGAACCUCUGCAGAUUGGUGGAGGAGGGGGCGGAUUUGCCCUCCGGCUGGACGCAGAUUUGUGCCGCGGUGCGAGCUUUUCCUUCCCCACCUUAACGCUCCUCUGUCCACGCACGAGGACUUCACUGUUCUGGACAUCGAAGUUUGGACCGUGCAGGGACUGAAUGGCAGCGUCAAGCAAACGAGGUUUCUUCUCUGAGGCUGCGACGCCUCAAAACCCAACCAGAGUGGAGCAUCAGCUCUCUCCACUGCACCUGCAUGAGAGCAUCCCACAUGCUGCACAAAGCCUAAGAGACUGGUUCUGCGGACCGGUUCUGCGAGUUCGUAUUCCGGUCGGUUGAAAUGCGACUCCUAGAGACUAGAGGAAACAUGAAAAGCUCAUUGCGAAACUGGCGGAGGAGCCGUUUUAAAGCUUUGUCCUGUUGUGGCCAGCUUUGAUUGUGUCACGCAACACGAGGUGUCUUGUGAAAGUCUUUUAACGUUUUCUAUUUAUUUUCACUUAACGGGAAUGACUUCAUUACUCGUAGGUUUAAAAUGCACUUGCAGGGGGAGAACAGUUGCAGAACAGUAUUUGCUUGUGGCCUUAAGUGAAGUGAUUAAUUUUAUGGUGCAGACACAGUAAUAGGAGAGGAGGUAAAUCUGUGCAUCUGCGCUAAAUCAGUGAAAAAAAACCCAAAAAGCACAAUAAAACUGUUAUGACUAGAGACUGAGGCAUAAAACUGAAGAGUUAACGGCCACUGCUCUUCUCCUAAAUGCCCUUUGUUCGUUUAAGGAUUUCUUUUAGGGAAAUACGUAUCUUGCACAUUUUUGCAAUGUUUUAAUUUUUAAAUACAUGUGUGUACAUCUAUUUUUUUCUUUCUUUUUUAAAAAUGCACUUAAGCAAGCAAGCUCUUUCGAGUGUCUUUCUGGUUGUUUUUACUUGAAUGUGUACAUGUCAGGUGAGGUGGUGCUGACACUGUCACUGUUAAAGUCUAAAUAAAUGAAAACAUAAUUUUAUUUACUGUUAA